CGCCUGUUUAUCAAAAACAUGUCUUUUUGAUUAAAUAAAAAGUNUAGCCUGCCCGGUGAAUUUUUAACGGCCGCAGUAUACUGACUGUGCAAAGGUAGCAUAAUCUAUUGUCUUUUAAUUAAAGGCUUGUAUGAAUGGUUGAAUGAGAUAUUAACUAUUUUUAUUUUAAUAAAAAUGAAUUUUAAUUUUUAGUAAAAAUGCUAAAAUAAAAAAAUUAGACGAGAAGACCCUAUAAAUCUUAAUUUUAUUUUUUAUAAUAUUAAUUUUGAAAAUUUUUAAUAAAUUAUAAAAAUAAAAUUUUAUUGGGAGGAUAAUGAAAUUUAAUAAACUUUUAUUUUUUUUUAUAAAUAUAAUUAAAUUAUUGAAUAUAUAAUUAUAAAAUAUUUAAAAAAUUAAGUUACUUUAGGGAUAACAGCGUAAUUAUUUUAAAGAGUUCUUAUCGAUAAAAUAGUUUGCGACCUCGAUGUUGAAUUAAGAAUUAAUUUAGGUGUAUAAGUUUAAAUUUUAAGUCUGUUCGACUUUUGAAUUCUUACAUGAUCUGAGUUCAUACCGG
RNAcentral lists this ribosomal RNA (553 nucleotides) under Culicoides imicola. RNAcentral's name for it is "partial 16S ribosomal RNA". It matches the Rfam family "Bacterial large subunit ribosomal RNA", at positions 1797 to 2619 of the family's 2925-position model. The record is from RNAcentral. Lineage: Eukaryota; Metazoa; Arthropoda; Insecta; Diptera; Ceratopogonidae.